RNAcentral lists this long non-coding RNA (300 nucleotides) under Bos taurus (domestic cattle). RNAcentral's name for it is "long non-coding RNA NONBTAT009610". Lineage: Eukaryota; Metazoa; Chordata; Mammalia; Artiodactyla; Bovidae. The record is from RNAcentral.
AUACAUUUCUGUUAAGAUGUUAACAGCGCUGCCUGUGAGAAUGCCUACCCUGAGACCCAGCCCUGUAUUCCUGGAAACAGCAGCAGUGGAAGAAGCCUCUGCUCUUGUGCUCCUGGAAAUAUCUUCCUUGCUAGAUGUCCUAUAUAAACAGUUUGAAAGUGGGCACCUCACACCAACUUAACACCUAAGAUGCACCUUGGAGUAGUGCCAAGUGAACCUGGCAGAGGGCUUCUUGUUCCUGAGAGCUUGAUUUCAACAAACAGUAGGAUCCAAUAGGGAAGCAGCUUUUGGACCCAUUAC